ACGUAGGGUGCGAGCGUUGUCCGGAAUUACUGGGCGUAAAGAGCUCGUAGGUGGUUUGUCGCGUUGUUCGUGAAAUCUCACAGCUUAACUGUGAGCGUGCGAGCGAUACGGGCAGACUGGAGUACUGCAGGGGAGACUGGAAUUCCUGGUGUAGCGGUGGAAUGCGCAGAUAUCAGGAGGAACACCGGUGGCGAAGGCGGGUCUCUGGGCAGUAACUGACGCUGAGGAGCGAAAGCGUGGGGAGCGAACAGG
This 252-nucleotide ribosomal RNA is filed under the name uncultured bacterium. RNAcentral's name for it is "partial 16S ribosomal RNA". It matches the Rfam family "Bacterial small subunit ribosomal RNA", at positions 525 to 776 of the family's 1533-position model. The record is from RNAcentral.